RNAcentral lists this ribosomal RNA (482 nucleotides) under uncultured bacterium. Its description in RNAcentral is "partial 16S ribosomal RNA". It matches the Rfam family "Bacterial small subunit ribosomal RNA", at positions 28 to 507 of the family's 1533-position model. The record is from RNAcentral.
GACGAACGCUGGCGGCGUGCUUAACACAUGCAAGUCGAACGCUGAAGCUCAGCUUUUGUUGGGUGGAUGAGUGGCGAACGGGUGAGUAACACGUGAGUAACCUGCCCCCUUCUUUGGGAUAACGCCCGGAAACGGGUGCUAAUACUGGAUAUUCACUGGUCUUCGCAUGGGGUUGGUGGAAAGGGUUUUUCUGGUGGGGGAUGGGCUCGCGGCCUAUCAGCUUGUUGGUGGGGUGAUGGCCUACCAAGGCUUUGACGGGUAGCCGGCCUGAGAGGGUGACCGGUCACAUUGGGACUGAGAUACGGCCCAGACUCCUACGGGAGGCAGCAGUGGGGAAUAUUGCACAAUGGGCGCAAGCCUGAUGCAGCGACGCCGCGCGAGGGAUGGAGGCCUUCGGGUUGUGAACCUCUUUCGCUCAUGGUCAAGCCGCAACAAUGGUUGUGGUGAGGGUAGUGGGUAAAGAAGCGCCGGCUAACUACGUG